AUGGCAAGUCUCAUUCAUUGGGAUUUUUCCCCUGGUCUCAAGGUGGAACAGAAGGUACGUGCCAAGUUCAGAUCUACGGUGCACUUUGAUAGUUCUUCGGGGACCAAGGAAUUUUUCUUGGUUGUUUCUUUCUCGUCGGCCUCCUUACCUCUUUCUGAAGAGGCGGUAGGAGUGGUUUUACAAUGCUGCAUUGGAAGAUUGCCCAUGGGUUUCAAUGUCAAGCAAUUGGGAGAUCGGAAUUUUCGGUUUUCGGUGGCUUCUAAUCGUGUUGGUCAUUUCAUUUAUGGUUUGAAAGAUCGUGUUUGUCCAAGUUUUGUGUGUCACUUCCGCUUGUUCAAAUCUUCGGUGGAUUACUCUUGGAAGGGUUCUGAGUGGCAUCUUGAUGAAGUUAUUCCGGAGGUUGUGGUCCGAUCACCUAUGGCUAUCAGGAGUUCUCUAGGGUUUCUACGUAAAAGUGCACAAGGAGAUACCUCGUCUAACCCUGAGUUGGCAAAAUUCGAAAUCUCUCAUGCCGAAGACAGGAACACCACUGCCUUUCCGGAUCAUAUCUUGGAUAAUUUUUUGGAGAUGCGGGAUCGUUCAUCAAAUGCUAAUUUGGUUUCCAACGUUAAUUCAAAUGAGUUGGCUUUUGGCAGCUUUCAUGCGCGUAUGUCACGGCCGGAUCAUUAG
Molecule: ribosomal RNA, 669 nt
Filed under: Triticum aestivum (bread wheat)
Lineage: Eukaryota; Viridiplantae; Streptophyta; Magnoliopsida; Poales; Poaceae
Description: partial small subunit ribosomal RNA
Source: RNAcentral